Molecule: ribosomal RNA, 433 nt
Filed under: uncultured bacterium
Lineage: Bacteria
Description: partial 16S ribosomal RNA
Rfam family: Bacterial small subunit ribosomal RNA
Source: RNAcentral
AACGAACGCUGGCGGCAUGCCUAACACAUGCAAGUCGAACGAGACCUUCGGGUCUAGUGGCGCACGGGUGCGUAACGCGUGGGAACCUGCCUUUAGGUUCGGAAUAACUCAGAGAAAUUUGAGCUAAUACCGGAUGAUGUCUUCGGACCAAAGAUUUAUCGCCUUUAGAUGGGCCCGCGUUGGAUUAGCUAGUUGGUGGGGUAAAGGCCUACCAAGGCGACGAUCCAUAGCUGGUCUGAGAGGAUGAUCAGCCACACUGGGACUGAGACACGGCCCAGACUCCUACGGGAGGCAGCAGUGGGGAAUAUUGGACAAUGGGCGAAAGCCUGAUCCAGCCAUGCCGCGUGAGUGAUGAAGGCCUUAGGGUUGUAAAGCUCUUUUACCCGAGAUGAUAAUGACAGUAUCGGGAGAAUAAGCUCCGGCUAACUCCGUG